GGCUUAGCUGUCUCCUUUUUCCAGCCAAUGAAAUUGAUCUUUCCGUGCAGAAGCGGGAAUAACAACAUAAGACGAGAAGACCCUAUGGAGCUUUAGACACUAAGACAGAUCACGUCAAACACCCCAGUUUAACGGGCUGAACUAAAUGGACCCUGUCCUAAUGUCUUUGGUUGGGGCGACCCUGGGGAGACAAAUAACCCCCAUGUGGAAUGGAAACACCAUAUUUCCAGAACCAAGAGCUAACCGCUCUAAGGAGCAGAAUUUCUGACCAUUUUAGAUCCGGCUACUGCCGAUCAGCGGACCGAGUUA
Molecule: ribosomal RNA, 309 nt
Filed under: Pseudolabrus eoethinus
Lineage: Eukaryota; Metazoa; Chordata; Actinopteri; Labriformes; Labridae
Description: partial 16S rRNA
Source: RNAcentral